This is a long non-coding RNA of Microplitis mediator, 1137 nucleotides long. RefSeq lists it as uncharacterized. Lineage: Eukaryota; Metazoa; Arthropoda; Insecta; Hymenoptera; Braconidae. The transcript is spliced from 4 exons. The record is from RefSeq and is a predicted model, not a curated record.
CGGUAGUGUUUCUGCUAACUUAUUUCAUUUAUUAUAUUUUAUUAAUGUUUAUUGAGUUGAUUAAUUAAAAUAAUGAUCAAUUAGUGUACUAUUAAUGAUAAUAAUUAAAAACAUCUAUAAAUUAUAAUAAAUUAAAUGUUAAAAGUAAAGAAUAUAAUUUUUUUAAAUUGUGGCGUCAGGACAACGGCUUGAAGGAAUAUCUUGUAAUUAAAGAAUUUAUUAAAAAAUUUUUAUGAACGUACCUUUAAAAGUUUGGUUGAAUGACCUAUAAAUUAGCAAAAACUUGAAUAAAACCCGUGUUUAAUGUUUUAUGAGAAUAAAAAUAAUUAAAGUAUUAAUUAAUAAUAAAUUAUCUUUGAGAUGCCAGUGUUUAAAAAUUUCAAGUGUUCGUGUAAAGUAUUUAUGUUCUAAGUGUUCAAAUUUCGAGUGCUUACAUUCAGUGUUCAAAAAUUAAAAGUGCUCAAAUUUACGGUACAGCUGCCGCAGCACAUUUCAGACUGCACUCUUAAAGUGUUUAUAUUAGCUGUUCAAAAAUUUAAAGUUUUAAAAUUCAGUGUACAAAAUUUAAAGUGUUACAUUCCAAGUGCUCAAAUAUUAAAGUUUUUAAAUUCCAAGUGUUGAAAUUUGAAGUCUUCAAAUCAUUUCUUUGAUUCCAGAUUUAAAAAAAGAUGUCAACAAUGAGUUUGGAGCGCAGAGUAAAGAGUAAAAGGAAAUGAAGAUGGAGAUGAUCCAACCGGUGCGAAGAAAUGUCAGAGAGUAACUGCAAGUUUAAUUGUACGAAAGAAAUUGCAAAGCUCUCUCUCAACUCAGACUGAAACUCUCUCCGAGGUAAAUUUUGGUUCAGCGGAACGUAGCACUUAACAUUUUACUAUAUGGUAACUAUUUAAAAUAAUACAUAAAUAUAUAUGGAUAUAUAUAUAUAUUUUUAAAAAGGAAUGAAAAGCUAAAGACACGGAUGAGAAAAGAAUUCGCGCUACCUGUUGAUCUUGCUGGUGUGUGUUGGUGUGUGUUUACACACAUUGGGGAUGUACUGAUGUUGGUGAAAGACUACUGGGGAGGGGGUUGAAAGGUGUGCUGGUGAAUAAGUAGGGGCUAUGAGGAAAUUUGUGAGAAAAAGAGAGAAACCCGACUGCAGAG